GACGAACGCUGGCGGCGUGCCUAAUACAUGCAAGUAGAACGCACAGUUUAUACCGUAGCUUGCUCCACCAUAGACUGUGAGUUGCGAACGGGUGAGUAACGCGUAGGUAACCUGCCUGGUAGCGGGGGAUAACUAUUGGAAACGAUAGCUAAUACCGCAUAAUAUUGAUUAUUGCAUGAUAAUUGAUUGAAAGAUGCUAUUGCAUCACUACCAGAUGGACCUGCGUUGUAUUAGCUAGUAGGUGAGGUAACGGCUCACCUAGGCGACGAUACAUAGCCGACCUGAGAGGGUGAUCGGCCACACUGGGACUGAGACACGGCCCAGACUCCUACGGGAGGCAGCAGUAGGGAAUCUUCGGCAAUGGACGAAAGUCUGACCGAGCAACGCCGCGUGAGUGAAGAAGGUUGUCGGAUCGUAAAGCUCUGUUGUAAGAGAAGAACGGGUGUGAGAGUGGAAAGUUCACACUGUGACGGUAUCUUACCAGAAAGGGACGGCUAACUACGUG
This 505-nucleotide ribosomal RNA is filed under the name uncultured bacterium. Its description in RNAcentral is "partial 16S ribosomal RNA". It matches the Rfam family "Bacterial small subunit ribosomal RNA", at positions 28 to 507 of the family's 1533-position model. The record is from RNAcentral.